RNAcentral lists this ribosomal RNA (402 nucleotides) under uncultured bacterium. RNAcentral's name for it is "bacterial SSU rRNA". It matches the Rfam family "Bacterial small subunit ribosomal RNA", at positions 355 to 774 of the family's 1533-position model. The record is from RNAcentral.
UCGGGAAUUUUGGGCAAUGGGCGAAAGCCUGACCCAGCAACGCCGCGUGAGGGACGAAGUAUUUCGGUAUGUAAACCUCGAAAGAAUGGGAAGAAUAAAUGACGGUACCAUUUAUAAGCUCCGGCUAACUACGUGCCAGCAGCCGCGGUAAUACGUAGGGAGCAAGCGUUGUUCGGAUUCACUGGGUUUAAAGGGUGCGUAGGUGGGUAUGUAAGUCAGUGGUGAAAUCCCCGAGCUUAACUUGGGAACUGCCGUUGAUACUAUAUAUCUUGAAUGCCGUAGAGGUAAGCGGAAUAUGUCAUGUAGCGGUGAAAUGCUUAGAGAUGACAUAGAACACCAAUUGCGAAGGCAGCUUACUAUGCGGUGAUUGACACUGAUGCACGAAAGCGUGGGUAGCAAACA